UACGGGGGGAGCAAGCGUUGUUCGGAUUUACUGGGCGUAAAGGGCGCGUAGGCGGCCUCCGCAAGUCAGUUGUGAAAUCUCCGGGCUUAACUCGGAAAGGUCAACUGAUACUGCGGGGCUAGAGUGCGGAAGGGGCAACUGGAAUUCUUGGUGUAGCGGUGAAAUGCGUAGAUAUCAAGAGGAACACCUGCGGCGAAGGCGGGUUGCUGGGCCGACACUGACGCUGAGGCGCGAAAGCUAGGGGAGCGAACAGG
Molecule: ribosomal RNA, 254 nt
Filed under: uncultured bacterium
Lineage: Bacteria
Description: partial 16S ribosomal RNA
Rfam family: Bacterial small subunit ribosomal RNA
Source: RNAcentral